RNAcentral lists this ribosomal RNA (360 nucleotides) under uncultured bacterium. RNAcentral describes it as "bacterial SSU rRNA". It matches the Rfam family "Bacterial small subunit ribosomal RNA", at positions 29 to 414 of the family's 1533-position model. The record is from RNAcentral.
AACGAACGCUGGCGGCAGGCUUAACACAUGCAAGUCGAACGGUUGUAGCAAUACAGCAGUGGCAGACGGGUGAGUAACACGUGGGAACCUUCCUAGGGGUACGGAACAACUCAGGGAAACUUGAGCUAAUACCGUAUACGUCCGUGAGGAGAAAGAUUUAUCGCCCUUAGACGGGCCCGCGUAGGAUUAGGUAGUUGGUGGGGUAAUGGCCUACCAAGCCUACGAUCCUUAGCUGAUCUGAGAGGANGAUCAGCCACACUGGGACUGAGACACGGCCCAGACUCCUACGGGAGGCAGCAGUGGGGAAUCUUGGACAAUGGGCGCAAGCCUGAUCCAGCCAUGCCGCGUGAGUGAAGAAGG